Long non-coding RNA from Scomber japonicus (chub mackerel), 492 nucleotides. RefSeq lists it as uncharacterized. Lineage: Eukaryota; Metazoa; Chordata; Actinopteri; Scombriformes; Scombridae. The record is from RefSeq and is a predicted model, not a curated record. The transcript is spliced from 4 exons.
AGACGGGCAUGAUGAAUCUCACUCGUCAAACACAAAAACACAACACUCGCUGCAACUCAGGGUCUGCUUACUAAAGGACAUCCAGAUCAGUGUCCUUUCAAAGAGAGCUUACAAACAUCCAGUGCAGAAGCUGAGUUAUCCUCGUGGCCUAACGGAGGCUGACUUCCUGGAUCUGCUGAGGUCCACCUUCCCUGAGCUGCCCGGAGGUGACCGACCAUUCCACGCUUUCUUGACUGACAAAUGCAAGAGAUUACAGCCGCUGAGAGUAAAGACACUGACACCCGAGGAGAUCCUGAGGUCUAUCAAGUCCACUGGGAAAGGACGAUCAGCUCUUUACAUACAACUCAAGAGAAAAGAUGAAGCCACCAAUGACACUCUGUCCACCUCUUCAACACUGACAGGAAGUGAUGAAACCAGACCGCAGGCAAGUUCCCACAACAGACGGCAACAUCACGUGGAAACAGAGGACGGUGAUGACGGAGAAGAUUGUGG